This 92-nucleotide ribosomal RNA is filed under the name Salmonella enterica subsp. enterica serovar Muenchen. RNAcentral describes it as "partial 16S ribosomal RNA". It matches the Rfam family "Bacterial small subunit ribosomal RNA", at positions 1 to 89 of the family's 1533-position model. RNAcentral also lists the same sequence under 8 other names. Lineage: Bacteria; Pseudomonadati; Pseudomonadota; Gammaproteobacteria; Enterobacterales; Enterobacteriaceae. The record is from RNAcentral.
AAAUUGAAGAGUUUGAUCAUGGCUCAGAUUGAACGCUGGCGGCAGGCCUAACACAUGCAAGUCGAACGGUAACACAGAGAGCUUGCUCUCGG